AGCGAACGCUGGCGGCGUGCCUAACACAUGCAAGUCGAAUGCGCAGCUCCGGUGUAGCAAUACAUCGGGGUGGGCGCGUGGCGAACGGGUGCGUAACACGUGGGUAACCUGCCCAAGAGUGGGGGAUAACUCCGGGAAACUGAAGCUAAUACCGCAUACGUCCUUCUGACAUUGGUCCGGGAGGGAAAGCCGCAAGGCGCUCAUGGAGGGACCGCGUCCAUCAGCAGUUGGUGAGGUAACGGCUCACCAAGGCGAAGACGGGUAGCCGGUCUGAGAGGACGAUCGGCCACACUGGGACUGAGACACGGCCCAGAC
RNAcentral lists this ribosomal RNA (315 nucleotides) under uncultured bacterium. RNAcentral's name for it is "bacterial SSU rRNA". It matches the Rfam family "Bacterial small subunit ribosomal RNA", at positions 29 to 336 of the family's 1533-position model. The record is from RNAcentral.